Chiloscyllium plagiosum (whitespotted bambooshark) is the source of this 2362-nucleotide non-coding RNA. The record is from RefSeq and is a predicted model, not a curated record. Lineage: Eukaryota; Metazoa; Chordata; Chondrichthyes; Orectolobiformes; Hemiscylliidae.
CCUGUGACAUUACCAUUACACCACCCACCUCCCUAAUCUCUAUCUGAAGAUGUUAGGACAGUAUCGUAUUGCAAGCUCCCUGUUCUUCACAACUUCUCAAUGAUGUUCUUCAAAAUUGUGGGAAAUAUCUGCUGUUGUGCAACAAAUUAUCAAAUAAAUGGUGCCAGAUCUGAUGAGCUUUUUCAGGAACCCCUGUUUUUACACCUUAUGGAAGUAAUGGUUCAAUCUGUUAUGUAUCCAUGGGCUGCAAGAGAGAAAGGUGUUUCCCCUGUCUAGAGCUCUCAAAGCUACACUACAACAUUGAAGACUGUGAGUUCCUGGGACACAGUGCCAAAGCAAGGAUUUCCACCACAUUGCCACUGCUGAAGCCGCUGUAUCGCCGCCAUUGCCAGAAUGGACAGAGUGGGCCCAUCGGGUGCUGAUGCCGCUGCCAUCGCCCAAACCAUCGCCACUUCAGUCGCUGGCCGGAGGUUGCCGCAUUGCCGCCAUAGCCACACGGAAUGAACCAGAACCACUGCGCUGCCAUUGUUACAGUCACUUGGGGUCAUGGUUGAAAACUAGGGGCUUGCCCAUUUAAGACAGAGAUGAGGAGAAUUUAUCUUUCCCCUAAGAUUGUGGGUCUUUAGAACUCUGUUCCUCAAAAAUGACGAGAAUCAGAGCCCGGAAAUGUUUUCAAGGCAGGCAUGGAUAAAUUUGUGAGAAACAAAAGUGUGGCAUGUGAAAUGAGUGGGAAUGUAGAGUAAUCAGAUCAGCCAUGAUCCUAUCGAAUGGGGGAGCAGAUUUGAGGGACCUACUCCUGCUCCUAAUUUGGAUGUUCAUAUUCUAACACACUGUUAUCCUGCGCGAUGAUCAGAGCAUACUAUUAGCACACACACUGCCACUUCUACAAUGUCAUCCUAUGUGUGCCUGCCAACACAAAAUCAAGCUGCUUUCUUUUCCCAACACACUAUUGUCCUGCACAUCUGCUAGUACUAAUUCAGGGCCUAAAAUGUUUCAUCAGGGGAUUCAAAGAUGCAUGCACAAGUGAUUGGCCAGCGUGAUUGGCCAGCAUUAUUGCUGCGCCCACCCUCUCCCUUGCCCUUUUGAAUGGAUCUACAUUGCCCAUGAGAUGCCGCAGUCUCCUACGAUUAGAAGCUGUGAUGUUAAAAGUUCAAAUUCUGUGGUCUGGCUUUCAGAGCUGGUUCUUUGUAGUUCUGCAUUCACAGCCCUACACUGCAUUCCAUUGUAAUGAUCAGCUUCAAUCGCGUGUUUUGAUCCUGUUUCCCCACCCGUCCCGCAAAACCAUGGAUAGCCUGAAAGAAUUAAGAGCAGGAAUUAGCAGUAAGCAUGUGCCGAGAUGUCGUUCUUUGAGGUCGUCACUUAAGUGGACAGUUGCUGUUUACCUCCAGUGCUGAAUGCCACCGCAUGCCCUGUGUUCAGUUACUCUCAGAAUGAAACUUUGAAGAAAUUCGAACCCCCACAAAAAUCCUGUUCAAUUGAUUUUAUUUAAUUAGCCAUCUCCUGUGGCCUUUCCAAUUGCCACUGUUCCGGUGCAACUUCCUCUCCUGACAGAUGUGGGGCUAAGCCAAUGCCAAUUCUCUGCUCCUUCCUGACAAUGCCUCUUUUUCUCUCUCCUCCAUAUGCCACCCUGCCAUCCUCCCAGCCCAUACGUUCCCCUCCAACUGUUAGCAGAAGAUGCACUGUUUCGGUUCAUAAGACUUUUAUGAAGGGCCCAUGGCUGCAAACUCGGUGGUACACCUACAAGAUGUGUGGGACCCAAAUUAAGCUAAGAUCUGAAGUGUCUUAUGACUUUCCAUUACAUCAAAGAUACUAUCAGAAUUGGAUUGUUAUUGUUUUAGAUAGUGUAUUCCAGAUCAUGACAACUUGGAUAAAAAUAUACUCCCCACCACCCUUUAGUUCUAUUGGUAAGUAGCUUACUUCUGUGGCCCUCUGGUUACAAGGCCUGCUGAUACUGAAAGCAAUUUCUCCUUACUCAUAAAUCUCCAUAAUUUUGAUCCUCUUUAAUCAUAGAUCACUUUGAUCUUUUCUACUCUGAGGAGAUCAAAUGCAUUAUCUCUGGGCUCACCGCAUGACAGAAGUCUUUCAUCCUUUCUACCCUCCUCUGCUCUCUCUUGAAGGACUUGUCAUCAGUCUGAAAGUAUGGUGCCAAGAAUUGGCCACCACAUCAGAACUGGGACCUAAACAUUGCUUUAAAAGUUGUCAGGAUAGUUUACUUGCAUAGUUCGUGUCUAUAUUUAUAAAGUCAAGAAUCCCAUAUGUCUUGUUAACAUUCUUCUCAACUUAUGUUGCCUCUUCAAAGUCCUUUGCUGUUCUUGUGCCCACACUCUACCCUGAAGAUUGAACCUUUUAGUUUGCAUCCUUC